Molecule: long non-coding RNA, 240 nt
Filed under: Gossypium raimondii (Peruvian cotton)
Lineage: Eukaryota; Viridiplantae; Streptophyta; Magnoliopsida; Malvales; Malvaceae
Description: long non-coding RNA (GRAI_LNC008082)
Source: RNAcentral
UAUUUAUAGUGGUGAGUGAGUGCACUGUGGUGGGUUAGUGGGAAAGGGCUGCUUUGGGUCUGGUCAACGGUCAAGUCCUUCUAAAAUAAGCCACCCACAUCAUGUAUGGGUCAUUGGUCUAAUAAGGCAAUUUCAGGGAAGGAUAGUGGAAAGUUAUAUAACCUUUUUUUCUUUGUUCUUUUUUUUCUUGGGAAGAAAUUAUCAAGUCAUAUUAUUUAGUUGUUCGAAAAUUUUUAAAUC